CAGUCGCCACGGUAAUACGGAGGGUGCGAGCGUUAAUCGGAAUAACUGGGCGUAAAGGGCACGCAGGCGGUGACUUAAGUGAGGUGUGAAAGCCCCGGGCUUAACCUGGGAAUUGCAUUUCAUACUGGGUCGCUAGAGUACUUUAGGGAGGGGUAGAAUUCCACGUGUAGCGGUGAAAUGCGUAGAGAUGUGGAGGAAUACCGAAGGCGAAGGCAGCCCCUUGGGAAUGUACUGACGCUCAUGUGCGAAAGCGUGGGGAGCAAACAGGAUUAGAUACCCCCGUAGUCCCUGUCUCUUAUAA
Molecule: ribosomal RNA, 301 nt
Filed under: uncultured bacterium
Lineage: Bacteria
Description: partial 16S ribosomal RNA
Rfam family: Bacterial small subunit ribosomal RNA
Source: RNAcentral